UGCGUAGGCGGAUAAAUAAGUCAGUGGUGAAAUCUUUCGGCUCAACCGGGAAACUGCCAUUGAUACUGUUUAUCUUGAGUUCGGUAGAGGUAGGCGGAAUGUGUAAUGUAGCGGUGAAAUGCUUAGAUAUUACACAGAACACCAAUUGCGUAGGCAGCUUACUGUGCCGACACUGACGCUGAGGCACGAAAGCGUGGGGAGCGAACAGGAUUAGAUACCCUGGUAGUCC
This 229-nucleotide ribosomal RNA is filed under the name uncultured bacterium. Its description in RNAcentral is "partial 16S ribosomal RNA". It matches the Rfam family "Bacterial small subunit ribosomal RNA", at positions 568 to 796 of the family's 1533-position model. The record is from RNAcentral.